Molecule: ribosomal RNA, 253 nt
Filed under: uncultured bacterium
Lineage: Bacteria
Description: partial 16S ribosomal RNA
Rfam family: Bacterial small subunit ribosomal RNA
Source: RNAcentral
UACAGAGGUCUCAAGCGUUGUUCGGAUUCAUUGGGCGUAAAGGGUGCGUAGGCGGCGCGGUAAGUCGGGUGUGAAAUCUUGGAGCUUAACUCCGAAACUGCAUUCGAUACUGCCGUGCUUGAGGACUGGAGAGGAGACUGGAAUUUACGGUGUAGCGGUGAAAUGCGUAGAUAUCGUAAGGAAGACCAGUGGCGAAGGCGGGUCUCUGGACAGUGCCUGACGCUGAGGCACGAAGGCCAGGGGAGCAAACGGG